UGAUAGAGGCGCGGUUGAGAAGAGUACCUGUAUGCGUAACAGACACAGCAUAAGAUGAGUGCAUACAGCGAAAGGCGAAGCCGCCGAGGAGCUGGAAAUGUAGGUCUGACGUUUCUGGUAUCCGGUACAGCGGAGAAGAUCGGUUGUACUGUCGCCGGAUAAAGGCGGAGAGCUGUCUG
This 179-nucleotide non-coding RNA is filed under the name human gut metagenome. RNAcentral describes it as "Lysine riboswitch". It matches the Rfam family "Lysine riboswitch aptamer". From Rfam's summary of the family: Riboswitches are metabolite binding domains within certain messenger RNAs that serve as precision sensors for their corresponding targets. Allosteric rearrangement of mRNA structure is mediated by ligand binding, and this results in modulation of gene expression. This family includes riboswitches that sense lysine in a number of genes involved in lysine metabolism, including lysC. The record is from RNAcentral.